AUGCAUGUCUAAGUACAUACUUUUACAUAGUGAAACCGCGAAUGGCUCAUUAAAUCAGUUAUGGUUCCUUAGAUCGUACAAUCCUACUUGGAUAACUGUGGCAAUUCUAGAGCUAAUACAUGCAAAUCAGCUCCGACCUUCGGGGAAGAGCGCUUUUAUUAGAUCAAGACCAAUACGGGCUCUGUCCGUUCCUUUGGUGACUCUGGAUAACUUUGUGCUGAUCGCAUGGCCUUGCGCCGGCGACGUAUCUUUCAAAUGUCUGCCCUAUCAACUGUCGAUGGUACGUGCUAUGCCUACCAUGGUUUUUACGGGUAACGGAGAAUCAGGGUUCGAUUCCGGAGAGGGAGCAUGAGAAACGGCUACCACA
RNAcentral lists this ribosomal RNA (367 nucleotides) under Alciopidae sp. USNM IZ 1449542. RNAcentral describes it as "SSU rRNA". It matches the Rfam family "Eukaryotic small subunit ribosomal RNA", at positions 51 to 414 of the family's 1831-position model. The record is from RNAcentral. Lineage: Eukaryota; Metazoa; Annelida; Polychaeta; Phyllodocida; Alciopidae.